RNAcentral lists this ribosomal RNA (718 nucleotides) under Salmonella enterica. RNAcentral's name for it is "partial 23S ribosomal RNA". It matches the Rfam family "Bacterial large subunit ribosomal RNA", at positions 691 to 1405 of the family's 2925-position model. The record is from RNAcentral. RNAcentral also lists the same sequence under 5 other names. Lineage: Bacteria; Pseudomonadati; Pseudomonadota; Gammaproteobacteria; Enterobacterales; Enterobacteriaceae.
GGCGUUAAGUUGCAGGGUAUAGACCCGAAACCCGGUGAUCUAGCCAUGGGCAGGUUGAAGGUUGGGUAACACUAACUGGAGGACCGAACCGACUAAUGUUGAAAAAUUAGCGGAUGACCUGUGGCUGGGGGUGAAAGGCCAAUCAAACCGGGAGAUAGCUGGUUCUCCCCGAAAGCUAUUUAGGUAGCGCCUCGUGAACUCAUCUCCGGGGGUAGAGCACUGUUUCGGCUAGGGGGCCAUCCCGGCUUACCAACCCGAUGCAAACUGCGAAUACCGGAGAAUGUUAUCACGGGAGACACACGGCGGGUGCUAACGUCCGUCGUGAAGAGGGAAACAACCCAGACCGCCAGCUAAGGUCCCAAAGUCAUGGUUAAGUGGGAAACGAUGUGGGAAGGCCCAGACAGCCAGGAUGUUGGCUUAGAAGCAGCCAUCAUUUAAAGAAAGCGUAAUAGCUCACUGGUCGAGUCGGCCUGCGCGGAAGAUGUAACGGGGCUAAACCAUGCACCGAAGCUGCGGCAGCGACAUUUAGGUGUUGUUGGGUAGGGGAGCGUUCUGUAAGCCUGUGAAGGUGGCCUGUGAGGGUUGCUGGAGGUAUCAGAAGUGCGAAUGCUGACAUAAGUAACGAUAAAGCGGGUGAAAAGCCCGCUCGCCGGAAGACCAAGGGUUCCUGUCCAACGUUAAUCGGGGCAGGGUGAGUCGACCCCUAAGGCGAGGCCGA